CGGGCCGCCGCCACGCCGCCAGGGCACCGGGCAACAGAUGGAGGCGCCCAGAAGCUGAUGAUAGAACAACUCAAACCUGUGCCACGACCCACCGCAUUUAAAGAACUUCAGCCAGAACAGCCUAAACAACAACGGAACAUGGCACUGCCAUCCCAAGAAUCUUUCACUACAAGAGGAAAUGAACAGCCAAAAACUUACAUAAACUUCAACAAAUGUGUAUAAAGACUUGAACAGUC
Long non-coding RNA from Schistocerca piceifrons (Central American locust), 236 nucleotides. RefSeq lists it as uncharacterized. The transcript has 3 exons. The record is from RefSeq and is a predicted model, not a curated record. Lineage: Eukaryota; Metazoa; Arthropoda; Insecta; Orthoptera; Acrididae.